UACGGGGGGAGCAAGCGUUGUUCGGAUUUACUGGGCGUAAAGGGCGCGUAGGCGGCGCAACAAGUCACUUGUGAAAUCUCCGGGCUUAACCCGGAGCGGCCAAGUGAUACUGUCGUGCUAGAGUGCGGAAGGGGCUACUGGAAUUCCCGGUGUAGCGGUGAAAUGCGUAGAUAUCGAGAGGAACACCUGCGGCGAAGGCGGGUAGCUGGGCCGACACUGACGCUGAGGCGCGAAAGCCAGGGGAGCGAACGGG
RNAcentral lists this ribosomal RNA (253 nucleotides) under uncultured bacterium. Its description in RNAcentral is "partial 16S ribosomal RNA". It matches the Rfam family "Bacterial small subunit ribosomal RNA", at positions 524 to 776 of the family's 1533-position model. The record is from RNAcentral.